CCUACGGGGGGCAGCAGUGAGGAAUAUUGGUCAAUGGGCGAGAGCCUGAACCAGCCAAGUCGCGUGAAGGAUGACGGCCCUACGGGUUGUAAACUUCUUUUGUCAGGGAGCAAUUGGCUCCACGCGUGGGCUUAGCGAGAGUACCUGAAGAAAAAGCAUCGGCUAACUCCGUGCCAGCAGCCGCGGUAAUACGGAGGACGCGAGCGUUAUCCGGAUUUAUUGGGGUUAAAGGGUGGGUAGGCGGAAUAUAAAGUCAGCGGUAAAAAUUCGGGGCUAAACCCCGUCGUGCCGUUGAAACUGAUGUUCUGGAGUGGGCGAGAGGUAUGCGGAAUGCGUGGUGUAGCGGUGAAAUGCAUAGAUAUCACGAAGAACUCCGAUUGCGAAGGCAGCAUACCGGCGCCCAACUGACGCUGAGGCACGAAAGCGUGGGUAUCGAACAGGAUUAGAUACCCGAGUAGUC
This 460-nucleotide ribosomal RNA is filed under the name uncultured bacterium. RNAcentral's name for it is "partial 16S ribosomal RNA". It matches the Rfam family "Bacterial small subunit ribosomal RNA", at positions 338 to 795 of the family's 1533-position model. The record is from RNAcentral.